Molecule: unclassified non-coding RNA, 1888 nt
Filed under: Ceratitis capitata (Mediterranean fruit fly)
Lineage: Eukaryota; Metazoa; Arthropoda; Insecta; Diptera; Tephritidae
Description: molybdenum cofactor biosynthesis protein 1, transcript variant X1
Source: RNAcentral
UCACAUUUUGAAUGUUUAUUCAGUGUUUAUUUGGACUUGCACGCCGGCGGUUGCUUAAAUCGGAAAGUAGACAGCGACAAAAACGACGUGACGACGACGACGACGACGAAGACAACGUAACGAGGUGACGCAGUGAAGAUAACAAGAAAGUCAAAAACACUUGAGUGAAUGUUAUUUGGCUAUUAAUAUUUUUGUUAUUGCUGCUAUUACUAUUUAAUGAACAACAAAAAGUUAAGUUGUUAUUGUACUCGUAUCUAAGCAUCGUUCAGUUCAUUUGGGUCGCAAGCGGUGCGCUUUAGGUUAUGUGUUCACAACAAUUAAGUGCAAUUUAUUGUGAAAUAAUUGGUUUGGCUGAAACGCAAAAGUGAGCUUAAACUCUCGUCGAAGUGUGGCGACUACCAAAUAAAAAUUACCUGCACGAUCAUUAGAAACUACAAAACAAUAAACAGAGCUAAAUACAUUGUGAUGAAUGCCAUAUUGAGAGUGGGUAUAUUUGCGCGAAAUGCAGCAGCAGCCAUAACCACGUCGUAUCCAACCGGAUCGAGUAAUAAUUAUGCGAGCAUCGCAACAGGUGUCGCCGCGACGAAAACACAACUGCCAGUCGAAAAGUCAGCGUCAACAGCUAAUACCCAUUCAGCGACAGCAAACACAAUAGCUGAGCACAAGCCCAGCUUUGUGCAACAACAAAAUUCUAAACAGGCAAAGGUGAAACCGAUAAGCAGUCAACCGUUGACGGACACUUUUGGACGCCAUCACACAUAUCUGAGGAUCUCAUUGACCGAGCGUUGCAAUUUGCGAUGUCAAUACUGCAUGCCUGCGGAAGGUGUACAACUACAAUCGAAAUCCAAUCUUCUAACAACCGAAGAGAUACUCUAUUUAGCGCGUAUAUUCGUUGAGCAGGGUGUGCGAAAAAUUCGCUUAACAGGCGGUGAGCCAACGGUGCGUCGUGAUAUAGUAAAUAUUAUAGCCAAAAUUAAAUCCAUACCAAAACUCGAAAAUAUUGGUAUUACCACAAAUGGUUUGGUCUUAACUCGUCUGUUGGUGCCCAUGCAACGUGCCGGUCUGGAUGCGGUGAAUAUUAGCUUGGAUACAUUGCGUCCGGAACGUUUCGAAGAAAUCACACGACGUAAGGGUUGGGAACGUGUAAUAGCCGGCAUUGAUUUGGCCAUACAAUUGGGUUAUAAACCGAAACUGAAUUGUGUACUCAUGCGCAAUUUCAAUGAGGAUGAAAUUUGUGAUUUUGUCGAAUUUACGAGAGAUCGCGAUGUGGAUGUGCGUUUUAUUGAGUAUAUGCCAUUUACAGGCAAUAAAUGGCAAACAGAUCGUUUGAUUUCGUUUAAGGAAUCCGUAGAGAUUAUACAAAAAAGAUGGCCCGACUUCAAAGCAUUACCCAAUGGACCAAAUGAUACCUCCAAGGCGUAUGGUGUACCUGGCUAUAAGGGUCAAGUGGGUUUUAUAACAUCGAUGACCGAACAUUUUUGCGGCACUUGUAAUCGUUUACGACUAACCGCCGAUGGAAAUAUAAAAGUUUGUCUUUUUGGUAAUAAAGAGUUUUCACUACGUGACGCUAUACGCAGCGAAUGUUCCGAAGAUGAUUUGAUAGCAUUGAUUGGUGCGGCAGUGAGUCGAAAGAAGAAACAGCAUGCGGGCAUGUUGAAUUUGUCUCAAAUGGAAAACCGUCCAAUGAUACUAAUCGGUGGAUAGUUUUGUAUCGUAUCAACAACAACAACAUAAAUAAACUGAUAAACCGUAGACAAUGGCUUAAGAAAGCGAAGAAAGACAUUAACAUUCAUAAUAAUACCGUCACACGAUUACAUCACAAAAAGAGUGAAAUUUUUGAAUCACGGAGAGAACAACGGAUUAAUUACCCCAAAAUCAGCAAAGACUU